UACGUAGGGUCCAAGCGUUAUCCGGAAUUACUGGGCGUAAAGCGUGUGUAGGCGGCGCGUUAAGUGCAACGCGAAAUCUUGUGGCUCAACCAUAUAGACUGUGUUGCAUACUGGCGUGCUUGAGGACGUGAGAGGCAAGUGGAAUUUGUAGUGUAGCAGUGAAAUGCGUAGAUAAUUACAAGGAACACCAAUGGCGAAGGCAGCUUGCUGGCACGUAUCUGACGCUGAGACACGAAAGCGUGGGGAGCGAACAGG
Molecule: ribosomal RNA, 255 nt
Filed under: uncultured bacterium
Lineage: Bacteria
Description: partial 16S ribosomal RNA
Rfam family: Bacterial small subunit ribosomal RNA
Source: RNAcentral